Paramuricea clavata is the source of this 109-nucleotide non-coding RNA. Lineage: Eukaryota; Metazoa; Cnidaria; Anthozoa; Malacalcyonacea; Plexauridae. The record is from the annotation of a GenBank genome assembly.
ACAAACUUGUUUCGUAUGACAAGCAAUGCUUGCCGCACUCAUCAGGUGAAUUUAAAAUUCAACUGAUGAGUGUGGCAAGCAUUGCUUGUCAUACGAAACAACUUUGUAG